AACGAACGCUGGCGGCAUGCCUAACACAUGCAAGUCGAACGAAGGCUUCGGCCUUAGUGGCGCACGGGUGCGUAACGCGUGGGAAUCUGCCCCUCGGUUCGGAAUAACACAGAGAAAUUUGUGCUAAUACCGGAUGAUGACGAAAGUCCAAAGAUUUAUCGCCGAGGGAUCAGCCCGCGUAGGAUUAGCUAGUUGGUGAGGUAAAGGCUCACCAAGGCGACGAUCCUUAGCUGGUCUGAGAGGAUGAUCAGCCACACUGGGACGGAGACACGGCCCAGACUCCUACGGGAGUCAGCAGUGGGGAAUAUUGGACAAUGGGCGAAAGCCUGAUCCAGCAAUGCCGCGUGAGUGAUGAAGGCCUUAGGGUUGUAAAGCUCUUUUACCAGGGAUGAUAAUGACAGUACCUGGAGAAUAAGCUCCGGCUAACUCCGUUCCAGCCGCCGCCGUAA
RNAcentral lists this ribosomal RNA (449 nucleotides) under uncultured bacterium. Its description in RNAcentral is "partial 16S ribosomal RNA". It matches the Rfam family "Bacterial small subunit ribosomal RNA", at positions 29 to 523 of the family's 1533-position model. The record is from RNAcentral.